CCUGAUCCUUCAUGAUCCAUUAAGGAUGUCCUUGCGUCUGAAGAAGCAAAUGCCUCUUUCAGUUACUAUAAACUAGUUUGGGGAGGUAAAUAUCUUCUUCUGUUGGAUCUCUGGACUGAUGCGAUUUCUGCUGAUAUUGCAGUUAAGUGCAUUGGAGCCAGGUCAUGUAACUACUACCGGGCCUGCCAUGAAGUUCAUGCUUGGCAGACCUGUAAUCAGG
This 220-nucleotide long non-coding RNA is filed under the name Homo sapiens (human). Its description in RNAcentral is "LHRI_LNC917.1". The record is from RNAcentral. Lineage: Eukaryota; Metazoa; Chordata; Mammalia; Primates; Hominidae.